UACGGAGGGAGCUAGCGUUGUUCGGAAUUACUGGGCGUAAAGCGCACGUAGGCGGCUUUGUAAGUUAGAGGUGAAAGCCUGGAGCUCAACUCCAGAAUUGCCUUUAAGACUGCAUCGCUCGAAUCCGGGAGAGGUGAGUGGAAUUCCGAGUGUAGAGGUGAAAUUCGUAGAUAUUCGGAAGAACACCAGUGGCGAAGGCGGCUCACUGGACGACUGUUGACGCUGAGGUGCGAAAGCAUGGGGAGCGAACAGG
RNAcentral lists this ribosomal RNA (253 nucleotides) under uncultured bacterium. RNAcentral describes it as "partial 16S ribosomal RNA". It matches the Rfam family "Bacterial small subunit ribosomal RNA", at positions 524 to 776 of the family's 1533-position model. The record is from RNAcentral.